RNAcentral lists this ribosomal RNA (559 nucleotides) under uncultured Clostridium sp. RNAcentral describes it as "bacterial SSU rRNA". It matches the Rfam family "Bacterial small subunit ribosomal RNA", at positions 94 to 668 of the family's 1533-position model. The record is from RNAcentral. Lineage: Bacteria; Bacillati; Bacillota; Clostridia; Eubacteriales; Clostridiaceae.
AGUGGCGGACGGGCGAGUAACGCGUGAGCAACCUGCCCUAUGCAGGGGGAUAACACCGGGAAACCGGUGCUAAUACCGCAUAAGACCACACUACCGCAUGGUAGAGUGGUAAAAGCUGAGGCGGCAUAGGAUGGGCUCGCGUCCAAUUAGCUAGUUGGUAGGGUAACGGCCUACCAAGGCGACGAUUGGUAGCCGAACUGAGAGGUUGAUCGGCCACAUUGGGACUGAGACACGGCCCAGACUCCUACGGGAGGCAGCAGUGGGGAAUAUUGCGCAAUGGGGGAAACCCUGACGCAGCAACGCCGCGUGAAGGAAGAAGGCCUUCGGGUUGUAAACUUCUUUGAUUGGGGACGAAGAAAGUGACUGUACCCAAAAAACAAGCCACGGCUAACUACGUGCCAGCAGCCGCGGUAAUACGUAGGUGGCAAGCGUUGUCCGGAAUUACUGGGUGUAAAGGGCGUGUAGGCGGGGAUGCAAGUCAGAUGUGAAAUUCCGGGGCUUAACCCCGGCGCUGCAUCUGAAACUGUAUCUCUUGAGUGCUGGAGAGGAAAGCGGAAUU